Molecule: non-coding RNA, 277 nt
Organism: Pelobates cultripes (western spadefoot toad)
Lineage: Eukaryota; Metazoa; Chordata; Amphibia; Anura; Pelobatidae
Source: the annotation of a GenBank genome assembly
UGAUCAUUACUCAUAUUCAGAAACAAUACUGUGGAUUUUGUAAUAUUUAACUUAAAAUUUGAAAUAUUGGAAUAUCUAUCAAUUUCAUACAUUAGGAAACGUAAAGAAGCCUCUGGAGAUGAGAGAGUAACUAACGCGUCAUCCGCGUAUAAUGAUAUUUUAAUAUCCGCAAAUUUCGUAUGUAUACCUUUAAUCAAUGGAUUAUUCCUAAUAUUUAUGGCCAAAGGCUCAAGAGAUAAAAUAUAAAGCAAAGGGGAAAGAGGACACCCUUGACGAG